GCAAAAAAUUUAGAAGCAUUGAUAGAUUAUGUUUCUACUAGCAAACAAUGUUGUAUGUGACGAUGAUGAAGCUAUGAUAUAUGGAGCAAAGUUCUUCAACUUUGUUCUCUUGCCAAGUAUGCCACCUUAUAGAUUGGUGUUGAAAGUAGGUGUUCUAGUAAUACUAUUGCACAAUCUUAAUGCAUCAAGAAACUUCUACAAUAGCACAUGUAUUAUCAUUGUCUAUCUUGGUCAAAGAUUAAUUAUUGCUAAGUUCCUUAGUUGGGCUUAUAAAGCUAGGAGAAUAAAUAUUCUACAAAUUACAACUACAUUACAAGGAAAUAGUUAUCCUUUGACAUUUAUGUGACGUCAAUUCUUAAUUCAAUUAACCUUUGUAAUAACAAUCAACAAAGCGCAUAGACAAACUAUAGGUACAAUUUGCAUGCACCUUUAUAACUUUGUAUUUAUCCAUGGUCAAUUUUAUAUUGUUCUUUCUUGAGCCAUAGACGUUGGAGAUAUCUUUGUUUGUUGAGCAAAUAAAAAAUCUACAACAAUAUAUAUAUAUAUAUAUAUAUAUAUAUAUAAAAAAACUUUUCUUUAGUCUUAAAUAGUUUUAAAAACAUUCAAGUGAAAAAAAUAGUAAGCAAAAAUUUAUAAUUGAAUAAAUAACUAAUCGCUACAUGUACAAAAUUUCUAAAUAGAAAUGAGAAAGUAAUUUGAAGUAGAAAGAAAAUAAUUGUUGCACAAUGGCUUGAGAAAAAACAAUUGCAAUAUCCAUAGAAUUUGAGUUAGUCUAUAAGUUUUAGAAGAAAAUUUUAUAUUAAGAUUUUUAAAGCAUACAAUAAAAUAUGAUUACAUGUGCAUAUAUAUAUAUAUAUAUAUACUUUUUCACUUGUAUGUACACUUAAAUUAUUUUUAGCUUACAUAUAAAUGGGAAUAUUUGAUUACUAAGAACUAAUUCAAUAUAAUGAUUCAAAUAACUGAAUUAUCAAAGUGUGACUUUCUAUGUACUUUUGAGUUGUCAACAACUGAUUACCAACAGUAAACUGAUUCUAUCCUUAAAAUCACACAAAUCAAUAGUACCAAGAAUUACUAAUAUACUUCAAUAAUUAUCCUCUGAUGACAAGUAUGGUAAUUUUAGGUUUAUUCUGUAUAAAUGAUAAGUCACCUGUGAAAAGUCAAUUCUUAGGCAACAUAUUGUGAUGAAGCCAGCACAUCAGUUAUCAAGUGUCUCCCUUUAAAUGAGGACAUUCUUGCAUACUCAAAGAUUCUUGUGACAUCAACCCCCUCAUAAUUAAUCAUCUCCAGCAUCAUACAUUAUUCAAUAAUAACAGGGAUUAUUCUGUAGAAAAUCAUUCACAAAUAUUGAAAAAAAGUUACUUCUGUGUGAUUAAACACACAAUGUUACACAGCCACAGAACAUGCUUACUAUCAUUAUUCACACACACACAUUCACACACACAGAUAGAAAUACAUAUAUAUAUAUAUAUAUAUAUAUACAUAUUAACAUAUUUCAUGAAUUGCAGUUUUUCAACAUCUACAAAUGUUAGGGUUAGAGCCAACUUCCCUGACCAGGUAUGAGUGAAUUGGGGAAGUAACUUAGUAGUAAUAGUAGUAUUGGGGGCAGCCAUUGAUGGGGUCCAAUCAUGGCUUGGGAAGUUGUCUCAAAGCUGGACUCCAUUACUCCCCUUGAAUCUGGGGCAAGUGAUUGAGGGUCAUGGAUGAGUUAAUCAAUUAAUUAAUUAUCUAAUUAAGCAGUCAAUGAAUGGGGCAAAAUGGGCUGAAGGGAAUGGGGGUUGACCAUGACUGAGACCAGUCAAUCACAUGAGAAAAUGGGUCCAUGUCAAAGGGUGUUUGUUAUGGGACCAUUGCCCUACCAGAGUGAGUCCAUUCCUCCAACUGGACUUGACAUUGAUUGGAUAUAUACUUCUGACUUCUUCUCUUUCCCUUUUUUUAUUUUAAAAAAUUAAAUUCAAUACGGUGCUCUAGGAAAAUCGAUAUAUCUGUUGGAAACUAGAUGAGUUGACUAAAUUGUUUACCAAUUUGUAAUUUUGAUUGAAAGUGUAAAAGAAAAUUACCCAAAUCCACUUUGCUUUAGCUAAAGAACAUGCUGCAAAAGAAAAACAUGACUUUAUCCAAAUAAACAGCAAAUCAUUGUUGAUGAAUAUACUCACACUAAUUGAACUUUAGCUGUGUUGAAAAUUAUAGUGAUUUUUUUCUUUCCCAUAGAAUAAAAUAAUUAAUUGCCCUUAAUAUUCCAAUCAUUGAUGUGAUUGAGAAUCUCUGUCAAAAGCUUCAUGUAUAUUUAUAGAUGUAAUGCCAAAUACCAAGCAAUCAUGUAUAGUAAUCACAUUACCACAAUCAAAAAUCACUCUUCUGAAAAACAAAAAUAUGGUAAUACUGUAUAAUAUUUCAUCAAUUUUCUAUUAAAAAUUUCACUCAAAUGAACACUCUUACUUUUACUGUCUGAGAUAUAAAAAGUCAGUUUUCACUCUCCACAUUUAUUUGCAACAAUAAUUUCAUGAAGCACAGGUCAUUAAAUCAUGCACAACUGACUAUAUUUCUGUUGCAAAUUCAUGUUGAAUUUCAAAUUUUGCACUGAACCAUUUACACAUCCUGCAAAACCAAACAUCAAAUAAUAAAACAAUCAAAUCGUCUAAUAAACACCACCAUCAAGACAUAAUACUGAAACACACAUUGAAUAUGUAC
This 2688-nucleotide long non-coding RNA is filed under the name Physcomitrium patens. RNAcentral describes it as "long non-coding RNA (PPAT_LNC005803)". The record is from RNAcentral. Lineage: Eukaryota; Viridiplantae; Streptophyta; Bryopsida; Funariales; Funariaceae.